AGGUCGCUAACCACAAUUCCGUCC
Molecule: non-coding RNA, 24 nt
Filed under: Arabidopsis thaliana (thale cress)
Lineage: Eukaryota; Viridiplantae; Streptophyta; Magnoliopsida; Brassicales; Brassicaceae
Source: RNAcentral